UCAUUGCCUUUGUCGGCUCAAGGCGCUAUAUAAGACAGACUUGGAAUACCUUGCGCUUCAACCUGGGAACUGCAUUCUGACUGUAUAGCUAGAGUACUGUAGAGGAGGAUGGAAAUACUGCCGUGUAAGCAAGUGCAAAUGCGUAGAUAUGCGGAGGGAGACAACGAUGGGGCGAAGGCAAAUACUCUCUCGGGACCUGUACUGACGCUCAUGCACGAAAAGCAGUGGGGAGCGAAAACAAGGAAUUAGAAUACCCUGGUAGUUCCACGCCCCUCAAAAACGAAUGUCAACUGGUUGUUGGGUCUUCACUUGACUCCAGUUAACGAAGCUAAACGCGUGAAAGUUGACCGCCCUGGGGGAGUACGGCCCCCAAAGGUUGAAACUCAAAAGAGAAUUGACGGGGGACCCGGCCCCCAGGCGGGGGGGUGAUGUGGUUUAAUUUGAUGCAACGGGGAAAAAACCUUUCCCCCCCCCUUUGACAUGUACGGAAUCCUUUAGAGAUAGAGGAGUGCUCGAAAGAGAACCGUAAAAACAGGUGCUGCAUGGCUGUCGUCAGCUCGUGUCGUGAGAUGUUGGGUUAAGUCCCGCAACGAGCGCAACCCCUGUCAUUAGUUGCUACAUUUAGUUGGGCACUCUAAAUGAGACUGCCGGUGACAAACCGGAGGAAGGUGGGGAUGACGUCAAGUCCUCAUGGCCCUUAUAGGUGGGGGUACACACGUCAUACAUGGCUGGUACAAGGGUUGCCACCCGCAGGAGAGGCAUCUCUAGGACAUCGUAUUCCGGAUCGCGUCUGCACUCGACUGCGUAAUCGUAUCGCUAGUAAUCGCGGAUCAAAUGUCGCGGUAAUAAUUCCCGGGUCUUGUCGCCAACCCCGUCCCCCCUCCAGCGGUUUGCCUGAAUAAUACCUGACCGUUAGAAAGCGCUUCCCCCCAGACUCCGUACUGAUAAUCGUAACUAAUACCCCAAACUUUUCGCUCUGGUUAUUCAUACUGUCAGGUCGUCGA
RNAcentral lists this ribosomal RNA (1004 nucleotides) under uncultured bacterium. RNAcentral's name for it is "partial 16S ribosomal RNA". It matches the Rfam family "Bacterial small subunit ribosomal RNA", at positions 547 to 1533 of the family's 1533-position model. The record is from RNAcentral.